This 482-nucleotide ribosomal RNA is filed under the name uncultured bacterium. RNAcentral describes it as "partial 16S ribosomal RNA". It matches the Rfam family "Bacterial small subunit ribosomal RNA", at positions 30 to 507 of the family's 1533-position model. The record is from RNAcentral.
AUUGAACGCUGGCGGCAUGCCUUACACAUGCAAGUCGAACGGUAACACGUCUUCCGUUGCUGACUAGUGUCGACCGGGGGCGUAUUACAUCCGAAUGUGCCCCCUCGUUGUGAGUCACGAAUCGCUACCUUUGCUAAUACCUCAUAACGUCUACUGAUUAAAGCCGGAUACCUCAAUGCCUUGCGCGAACUUAGCUGCCGCUGUCAGAUUAGGUAGUUGGUGGGAUAACAGCUUACCAAGCCGACGAUCUGUAGCUGGUCUGAGAGGACGACCAGCCACACUGGGACUGAGACACGGCCCAGACUCCUACGGGAGGCAGCAGUGGGGAAUUUUGGACAAUGGGCGAAAGCCUGACCCAGCAAUGCCGCGUGAAGGAUGAAGGCCUUCGGGUUGUAAACUGCUUUUGUACGGAACGAAAAGAUGCUGGUGAAUGUCUGGGGUUCAUGACGGUACCGUAAGAAUAAGCACCGGCUAACUACGUG